Molecule: ribosomal RNA, 771 nt
Filed under: Crenarchaeote enrichment culture
Lineage: Archaea; Thermoproteati; Thermoproteota
Description: bacterial SSU rRNA
Rfam family: Archaeal small subunit ribosomal RNA
Source: RNAcentral
GGCUAACCUGCCCUUGGGACAGGGAUAACCCCGGGAAACUGGGGCUAAUCCCUGAUAGGUGAGGGCUCCUGGAAUGGGCCCUUGCCGAAAGGGCGCCUGGACCAUGCCUCUAGGCGCCGCCCAAGGAUGGGGCCGCGGCCGAUCAGGUAGUUGGUGAGGUAACGGCUCACCAAGCCUAUAACCGGUACGGGCCGUGGGAGCGGGAGCCCGGAGAUGGGCACUGAGACAAGGGCCCAGGCCCUACGGGGCGCAGCAGUCGCGAAACCUCCGCAAUGCGCGAAAGCGCGACGGGGCCAUCCCGAGUGCCGCCCGCUGAGGGCGGCUUUUCCCCGGUGUAGACAGCCGGGGGAAUAAGGGGAGGGCAAGCCGGGUGUCAGCCGCCGCGGUAAUACCCGCUCCCCGAGUGGUGGGGACGCUUAUUGGGCCUAAAGCAUCCGUAGCCGGCCAGGCAAGUCCCCUGUUAAAUCCAGCGAUUCAAUCGCUGGCCUGCGGGGGAUACUGCCUGGCUAGGGGGCGGGAGAGGCCGGCGGUAUUCCCGGGGUAGGGGUGAAAUCCUAUAAUCCCGGGAGGACCACCAGUGGCGAAGGCUGCCGGCUAGAACGCGCCCGACGGUGAGGGAUGAAAGCUGGGGGAGCGAACCGGAUUAGAUACCCGGGUAGUCCCAGCUGUAAACGAUGCGGGCUAGGUGUUGGCACGGCUACGAGCAGUGUCAGUGCCGCAGGGAAGCCGUUAAGCCCGCCGCCUGGGGAGUACGGCCGCAAGGCUGAAACU